Molecule: ribosomal RNA, 503 nt
Filed under: uncultured bacterium
Lineage: Bacteria
Description: partial 16S ribosomal RNA
Rfam family: Bacterial small subunit ribosomal RNA
Source: RNAcentral
AUUGAACGCUGGCGGUAUGCUUAACACAUGCAAGUCGAACGAUGAGAAAGAGCUUGCUGCUUCGCUGACGAGUGGCGGACGGGUGAGUAAUGUCUGGGAAACUGCCUGAUGGAGGGGGAUAACUACUGGAAACGGUAGCUAAUACCGCAUAACGUCGCAAGACCAAAGAGGGGGACCUUCGGGCCUCUUGCCAUCGGAUGUGCCCAGAUGGGGUUAGCUAGUAGGUGGGGUAACGGCUCACCUAGGCGACGAUCCCUAGCUGGUCUGAGAGGAUGACCAGCCACACUGGAACUGAGACACGGUCCAGACUCCUACGGGAGGCAGCAGUGGGGAAUAUUGCACAAUGGGCGCAAGCCUGAUGCAGCCAUGCCGCGUGUAUGAAGAAGGCCUUCGGGUUGUAAAGUACUUUCAGCGGGGAGGAAGGCGAUAAGGUUAAUAACCUUGUCGAUUGACGUUACCCGCAGAAGAAGCACCGGCUAACUCCGUGCCAGCAGCCGCAGUAA